UUUUAGCCAAGCUGAGAGCAAUGUUAAGGCCUCUUGGUCAUACCUUACUAAGGGAUCAUUUUAAUAUAUUGUUUAAAAUACUCAAGGAAUUCUGUGCCAUCUAAGUAGUAGAAGAUUUUUAUUCAUUUAUUCUAGGGAAAACAUUAGCUGAUUGUGCACACUAUGUAUGCGGGAGGAGUAGGUUGCUUGAAUGGAGUCACAACGUCAUGGUAAUCUGCUCCUGGCAGAAACUGCGAUGGAUUUGGUUAGUUUUGACUGAGUUUCUGAAUCAGAGGGUUCUACAAGGACAGAGAAAUGUCUGAGGUCAGGACAAGUCAAGAAGGACUCAAGUACCUGACUAAAGGUUUACUCAAAGGAAACAGUCUUUGUCACAGGUAGGUCAAGAGAAAUUGUGUUAGUAAAAAUCCUAUUUCUUUAUUUCUUCCUAGAUUAAUCGUUUAUGUAGCAAGGAUAUGGUAGGAAUACAUUUUUUUCAACCACAAAAAUUAUGUUACACUCAGGGCCAUGAUUAAGACACAAAUUUAGAUUUAUACUUUACAAGGAAUGUGUAGUCUGUCUGUGUAUAUAUUUUUUCUGUCUUUAUAUUAACAAUAUUGGGCUUGGCUGAAAGUUUCACAUUGUAGUUUUAUAAACAUUAAAGAAUUUAAGCAUUUUAAAUGAUAAGUAUUACAAAUAUAUCCAAAGUGAUCCACUAUUUAGAUACGUCUUUUCUUACUUUCCAAAUACAUAGAAAGUAUGAUAUAUAAUGUGAUUUAUUAUAGUUCCUAAACCGCCUCCUAUAUGUGAAGAAGAGGGAAAUACAGUAUCUUUAUAUGAAGAAAUUCCAUACUUUUUAUCAUGUAAUAAAUAUCUGCUUUCCAAAAAUAUACCCUAUGUCACCAGUAACCAGUUUUUGUUUUUGUUUUAUUAAUAGGUUAUGUGUUCUAAGAUUUCAGAACAGUAGUAGUCCCCCUUAUCCAUGGAGAAUAUGUUCCAAGACCCUCUGUGGAUGCGUGAAACCAUGGAUAGUACUGAAAGCUAUAUAUUCCUGUACUAUGAUUUUUCUUAUACAUACCCGUGAUAAAGGUUAUAGAUUAGGCACAGAAAGAGAUUAACAACAUUAUUUAAUAUAAAAUUUACCAAUUAUAACAAUAUACUCCAAUAAAAGUUAAGUGAAUAUGGUCCCUCUCUCUUAACAUUUCUUUUUUUUCUUUCUUUCUUUUUUGAGACAGAGUCUCCCUCUGUCACCCAGGCUGGAGUGCAGUUGUGCGAUCUCAGCUCACUGCAACCUUCACCUCCCAGGUUCAGGCGAUUCUCCUGCCUCAGCCUCCUGAGUUGCUGGGACUACAGGU
RNAcentral lists this long non-coding RNA (1331 nucleotides) under Homo sapiens (human). RNAcentral's name for it is "long non-coding RNA NONHSAT202421.1". The record is from RNAcentral. Lineage: Eukaryota; Metazoa; Chordata; Mammalia; Primates; Hominidae.